AGGAGGAGGAGGAGGAGAAAGAGGAAAGCAUCGCCAAAGCGGAUUUCUGGCAUCCUCUGUGUGUACAUCGCGCCAUUCGUCGCCCUCUCGAGUCGUUAUAUCUCGCGCGCGCAGGCGUCACCUUCGGUUUGUAGGUCGGUAUCUGGUGUGAGUGAGAAUGAGCGACGCCUGGCGCGCGCGCUGCCAUGCUGUGUAAGUCUGCGGCCAGCUUUCAAUCACCGCAUCUUGCGAAGCGUCAGAUCUAAUGGGAGCCAAAGCGGAUACAGGUACAGCAUCAGCACACCGACUGCUCUGAUCGCCGACUAAAUACAAGCGGCUUGUCGUUCUUCAUAACUGAGGUCCUCUUUUUCUUUUCUUUUCUUGUUUUUUCUUUUUUUUUCUGCUAUGUGAUUUCUUUCGUUUUAGCUGCUUCUUUUGCACGGAACGCGGCGGAGGAAGAAAGGAAUUGGACUGGGAUAUACUUCAUUUUUUGUUCAUUUUCCCACAUUACCGGGCAUCGAAUCACACUCCCCAUAAUAAUCUGACGAUCGGGUGUGAUGUAGGACAAAUACAAGAAAGCAACGUUGAUGAAUCGGAGUUGGACUGUAAUUCUGAUCUUGUCUGGUUUGUCGUUUUGUCUUCGGCCCCCGGAUACGCAUUUUUGAGGGAACCCAGCAGGGCAGAUAGGGGGAGAUAUAGACGUUGGGGAGAUCGUAUCAAAGGUGGGAAAUCCAGAGUGGUAAAAGAAGAGAGCGUAAGAGAGAGAGAGAGAGAGAGAAAGAGAGGGAGAGAGGGAGCGAGAAAAAGAGAAACCAAGAAACAUUAAAUCAUGCUGCCCUCGCAAGAAGCCUCCAAGAUCUAUCACGACAACUACAUGCGAAACUCGCGGGCCAUCGGCGUGCUGUGGGCCAUCUUUACCAUCUGUUUCGCCAUCAUUAACGUGGUGGUGUUUCUCCAGCCUUACUGGAUAGGCGACAGCGUGAACACGCCGUACGCUGGCUACUUCGGCCUCUUCCACUACUGCAUGGGGGAGGGAAGCUCGAACCGCGAGCUCAGCUGCCGGGGCACGUUCUCCGACUUAAGCUUCAUGCCAUCAGGCGCCUUCAAGGCCGCCUUUUUCUUCGUGCUGCUCUCCAUGGUGCUUAUCCUGAGCUGCAUCGCCUGCAUGGCGCUUUUCUUCUUCUGCAACACCGCCACCGUGUACAAGACGUGCGCCUGGAUGCAGCUGCUCUGCGCUGUGUGUCUGGUGUUCGGAUGUAUAAUAUUCCCGGCUGGCUGGGAUGCAGAGGUGGUUCAGGACUUGUGUGGUGAGGAGACAGGAAAAUACACGCUGGGGAACUGCUCAGUGCGCUGGGCCUACAUCCUAGCCAUCAUCGGCAUCCUGGAUGCACUCAUCCUCUCUUUCCUUGCCUUCGUCCUCGGGAAUCGCCAAAGCGACUUCCUUCAAGAUGAAGUCAAGGCUGACAAUAAAGACUUUGCAGUAUCAAGGAUUGAGAUCCGUGACUCAAAGGAUCCUCGUUUUGGAGUCCAGCGGUUCCAUUAAAGAGACUUCUCUUCCUUCUUCAUCCCCGUCUCCUUCUAUCCUUGUCCUCUCAGACCCAACAAGUUGAGCAUCAGUGAGAACUUACAGCACAACAUUGCAACAUAGCUGACCAUGAUGGGUCUACAUAUGAGGCUUGUCUUUGACAGCGACACAAGUGAGCUGAAGAUUUAUAUCAGUGUUAGCUUUGAAGCUCACAUCAGCUAAGAAACAUUUUGUGCUCUUCUGCAAAUGAAGAAAUCAUGUGCUACAAUCAGCCCCAGGUAAAUUAACCUUUUUUUAUCACUGAAAGAUACAAAGCUCUGCAUGAGUCUAAGUUCAGGCAAUUGUGGGUUUCACUUCUGUAAAUCUUUGAAAAGAUUCUUGAAGUUUGAAGUCACUUUGUUCAACAUAAGAAGGAAAAAAACAAUGUAAUGCCAGGUUUGGGCACAGCUAUGCAGUGAUGUGUGUGAAAGAGCAAUUUCAGUGGUUAAAUAUGUAUGGCCGAUGUGGUGUUGGACGUUAGGUUUCGGAACUGCCAGAACAUGACUAAGCUUUGAGAUUCUUAAUUAAGCAUGGCAAAUAUACACACAGCAGAUAUAAAGCUUCUGACAUUGCGGUAUUGAAUCUGGCCUGUCAAUUGUAGCGAUCCUAUAUGGGGCUGUGUGCUGAUAUCUAAAUUACUGAGGCUAAUUGUGCAAUUAAAUGCACAGUGUAGAUGUUUAUAUUCAAAACGUGUUUACAAUGCCAUUAAAGGUUACAUUUUUGUUCUCUGGUCAGUGUUGGUUUUUAAAAAAGCUGUAAUUUUCUUGUUUCUCCUCCCCACAAAACAAACCUUUGCACAUAUAACACCUUUUGUGCUCCCUGGGCAGAAAAUUUCUUGUACAGAGACUUUCCUUGCGCUUUACAAGAAAGUGUUACACUGAUGCUGGGAAUCAUUUCCUGGGUCAUUCAAAGGACAACACACACACACACACACACACACACACACACACACAAACACACUGCACUAAACUGGAGGGAGGGUUUGGAUAGCACUGUGCAGCUUUGUGAUUGGACACGUUCAAGAUACAUGAAGCUGAAGAGUGACAUGUGAAUUCCUCCGUAUGGUGCUUUAUCCCUGUCCCCUUCUCAAUCAGCGUUCCCUUCUAUCACACCUGCAUCAGACGCCCCACAGCCCCUUGACUAUGGAGGAAGAGGGGAUGAAGGGGAUGGGAAUGCAAUCUGUGAAUGGGAAGGAAAGAAGGGAGUGGUACAGUCCAAGCAGAACUUUUUCUUACUGAAGCCUGCGAAACAGAAGCAAUGAUCCCCUUGUAGACAUGGCUAAGUGCCACAAAGUCCUUACAUGUCCAUCUUCUCCCUUUUCCUCACACGUCCAUGCUCUCUCAUCAUCCAUGAAGACUUAUAAAUGCAACUGUGUGUUUCCUUGAUAAUAUAUGAACAAACAUACGUAGUGGUUUUGAUCAUGUUUUAUUUUAUGCCUUUUAAGUAAAAAAUCUUUUCUUUUUUUUCCCAAGCAUUUGGGGGUCAUAAAUAAUUCUAAAGUCCUGGGAAAUCCCUGAACUGCAUAGUUUAAAGUGUUCCACUUACCUGAUUAAACCCAUUAAGCCCAAACACCUCAGACCAAUAGGCUAUUUAUUUACUCUUUUUUUUUUUUUUUUUUACUUUUUAUUUACUUAACAAAGUGUUUUCGAAUAUGCAAAUGAGACAAUAUAUUAGACUACUUUUUUAAGCAAACUGAUUCAUUUGGAGGUUUUUUUUUAAGCUUCACAGCUAUAAACAAUUUAAAAUGAAUCUAUUAUAAAGGUAUCAUUUUUCUUUUCUUUGAAAGUAAAACCACCAUUUUUGCCUGUGGUGCCUGGCUUUAAGGUAGCUGAAUCAGGCAUAUUGGAGCAGUAAAAACACUAGACUGCAGAACAGGGGGUCUCGCGCAAUGUGAUCUGAGAACCGCUGAAAAACAGCUUACUGUCCUCAGGAGUUUUUUUUUACUGUAGUGGGAGUGAAUGUUGUCUGGUUUGGAAAGGAAAAGAUUGGAUACAAAAAUACACUUGGGUUAUUUUAAUUUCACAAGGUGAAAGGUCAUACUUUAAACUGAAGUAUGUAUGCCAUAUUGUGUCUGACACCGACCAUUCUAUUAUUAAAUAAGAGCAAGAAAAGUAAAUAUAAUAGCAUGACUUGAGAAUUAUAACCCUGUGUAAAGGAAUGGGGCACACAUACUCAGCUCUAGAAACAAAUCUGUGGGCCCUGUGAAAACCUUUUUAGAAAGCUUUACUCCAUCCAUUCACUGUAAAAGGGUAAAUAGAAACUUAUUUUUUGUUCAUUCUGCAGACUAUGCUGCAGACUGUGCUGCUUCAAAAACAUUUGGGGUCUGCAAACAAGAAUUGUUCAUUAAUUUUUAAAACCUAGUUCAAAUUAUUAAAGUAUUUACAAUGCUCAGAACAUUGCUUUUCCAAUAGCAUGCAGUAAACAAUUAUUAUUUUUUUAUCAGUGAACAAUGAUAAUAGCUGAUUUGAGAAAAUAUGACUAAAUAAUAAAGAAAAACUGCAUUUCUUUACUUAUUCAUAACUAAAAAUCUGGUUUCUGAGCUUUGAAUCUGUUUAUACACACAAUGUUGUUUUUUCCAUAAUUCACCGAAGUUUUUCUUCUUCUGACAAUUAAUUCUGCAUCUGUGUAACUAUGAGGACUCAAAUAUUGAGUUAGAUAUGUCAUUUGAAACGAAAGAUUGAGGAUGUGAUGCAUUUUUGUUUUCACAUCUUAACCAUAGCCCUGAAGUACUGCAGCUGCUCUCUCUCAAUAACGAUCACAUUAUCAGUAUCCGAUAAAAAAACAUGCUUUCAUGCAAUUCACCAUUAUGUACAAAAUUGGAGAACACCACCGACUCAUCAUGGGAAAGUUAUUAAUCUGCUAUUAAUUGUUGUCAUUUUACAUUUUCUUUCGCUCUUUUAUAAUUUUGUAUCUUUCUCUACAAUCUUUUACUUGGAAAUAAAUGUGCCAAACCAAACUGAGCAAAUAGCUGUGGACAGAUAGGACUGAUUUCUUUUUCCAAGUAUGGAUUUUAUUUCCCCCUGUGCAAGUGUUGAAUGCCUUUCUUUUUUAUAUAUUUUUUGUUCUAGUUGUAAAUGUUGUUUUUAAUCGGAUAUUGUCUGGGAUGCUGCGAUGUCUCUUCAUAAAAUGAAAAAUGUUAUGUGAAUGUUACUGCAAGGUUAUCACAGGGGGAGUGCAAAAUGGUUGACAUUGUCACCGCCACUUAUACAUUGUUGGUGUUGUUUUAAAAGAAAAAAACCUGAAAUAAAUUAAUUGAAUCGGAGUUGGAGGUUUAUUUUGCUGUGAAAACUGAAUAUGUUGAAAUGCUAAGAGCUAUAUUUAAUUUGAGAAGCUGAUUAACCAGUAACUAACUACAUUUUCUAAUUAACCAUGAAACAGUGACAGAUUUCAUGACUCACUGAAAGUGUGCACGACAAACAAGAAGUAGUAAUUAUUCAAACUAAUGUGUUUUACACUGUUUUGGAUGUUUGAUAAUUAAAACAUCA
RNA transcript from Silurus meridionalis, 5028 nucleotides. It is a transcript of the gene named LHFPL tetraspan subfamily member 4a, with no coding region annotated. The record is from RefSeq and is a predicted model, not a curated record. Lineage: Eukaryota; Metazoa; Chordata; Actinopteri; Siluriformes; Siluridae. The transcript is spliced from 5 exons.